GUGCUUGCACCUUUCAAGCGAGUGGCGAACGGGUGAGUAACACGUGGAUAACCUGCCUCAAGGCUGGGGAUAACAUUUGGAAACAGAUGCUAAUACCGAAUAAAACUUAGUAUCGCAUGAUACAAAGUUGAAAGGCGCUACGGCGUCACCUAGAGAUGGGUCCGCGGUGCAUUAGUUAGUUGGUGGGGUAAAGGCCUACCAAGACAAUGAUGCAUAGCCGAGUUGAGAGACUGAUCGGCCACAUUGGGACUGAGACACGGCCCAAACUCCUACGGGAGGCUGCAGUAGGGAAUCUUCCACAAUGGGCGAAAGCCUGAUGGAGCAACGCCGCGUGUGUGAUGAAGGCUUUAGGGUCGUAAAGCACUGUUGUAUGGGAAGAAAUGCUAGAAUAGGGAAUGAUUCUAGUUCGACGGUACCAUACCAGAAAGGGACGGCUAAAUACGUGCCAGCAGCCGCGGUAAUACGUAUGUCCCGAGCGUUAUCCGGAUUUAUUGGGCGUAAAGCGAGCGCAGACGGUUGAUUAAGUCUGAUGUGAAAGCCCGGAGCUCAACUCCGGAAUGGCAUUGGAAACUGGUUAACUUGAGUGUUGUAGAGGUAAGUGGAACUCCAUGGGGUA
RNAcentral lists this ribosomal RNA (616 nucleotides) under Leuconostoc lactis. RNAcentral describes it as "bacterial SSU rRNA". It matches the Rfam family "Bacterial small subunit ribosomal RNA", at positions 76 to 678 of the family's 1533-position model. The record is from RNAcentral. Lineage: Bacteria; Bacillati; Bacillota; Bacilli; Lactobacillales; Lactobacillaceae.